GGAUUAGAUACCCGGGUAGUCCAUGCCGUAAACGUUGGGCACUAGGUGUGGGGGACAUUCCACGUUUUCCGCGCCGUAGCUAACGCAUUAAGUGCCCCGCCUGGGGAGUACGGCCGCAAGGCUAAAACUCAAAGGAAUUGACGGGGGCCCGCACAAGCGGCGGAGCAUGCGGAUUAAUUCGAUGCAACGCGAAGAACCUUACCAAGGCUUGACAUGAACCGGAAUGAUGCAGAGAUGUGUCAGCCACUUGUGGCCGGUUUACAGGUGGUGCAUGGUUGUCGUCAGCUCGUGUCGUGAGAUGUUGGGUUAAGUCCCGCAACGAGCGCAACCCUCGUUCCAUGUUGCCAGCGGGUUAUGCCGGGGACUCAUGGGAGACUGCCGGGGUCAACUCGGA
Molecule: ribosomal RNA, 394 nt
Filed under: uncultured bacterium
Lineage: Bacteria
Description: bacterial SSU rRNA
Rfam family: Bacterial small subunit ribosomal RNA
Source: RNAcentral